AAGUCGUAACAAGGUUUCCGUAGGUGAACCUGCGGAAGGAUCAUUAACAGUUCUAGCCAACUAGUUUGGCGGAAAUGGAGGGCCUACGCAAGCGAUGAAAAUAGCUUGCUAUUACGGGGCCCUCAUACACCCUUGCCUUUGAGUACCUAAUUGUUUCCUCGGUGGGUUACCCCACCGAAUGGACAUUAUAAUAACCUAUUUUUCUAUGUAAUUACAAUCAGUCUCAAAAUAAAUAUACAAUAUUUACAACUUUCAACAACGGAUCUCUUGGUUCUG
RNAcentral lists this unclassified non-coding RNA (276 nucleotides) under air metagenome. RNAcentral describes it as "partial contains small subunit ribosomal RNA, internal transcribed spacer 1, and 5.8S ribosomal RNA". The stretch from base 1 to 46 matches the Rfam family "Eukaryotic small subunit ribosomal RNA", at positions 1786 to 1831 of the family's 1831-position model. The record is from RNAcentral.